GGACAUUGGAUGUAAUGUGAUGGGAAGGCCAAUCGAUCGCUCUAUUUGGGGGCAUGAGGACGCUUUUUGUGUGAUUUUGUUUGGUAUGAUGUCUGUUACGCAUGAUUUUCAGAAAAAAAAGAUGCCCCUCUUUAUUGCAGAUAGUUGUCGAGGAAUGCCUGCGGGAUAUUAAUAAUAUUUGAUAAUGAAGGAUCUUGCAACCACUGUUAGAUGUAUAGUUUACAAAAGUAAAAAGUUGUGCAAUGGUGAGGUAAUGUAGAUGUAAGCAAUCGGGUGGGUAGGUCGACUCGAGCCACUUAUUAGGGAACUAACCACAAAUGAUUUCUGAAAGCUUCACGGAUCCGUGCGAAAUGGCAUUAAUUUGAUGACAUGAGCAGGAUAUAUAGUAGCUAAAGUGUAUUAGUCUCUUUAAUUAUGCAUUUCGUCAGCGCAAGUGGUCAUACCUCUCAUGAACCGUACUGACGCAUGUGACACUUGUAUUGCAAAUUGAAUCACAGCAUAUAACAACAAUUGACAUAUAUCAACAGUUAUA
Molecule: long non-coding RNA, 532 nt
Filed under: Setaria viridis
Lineage: Eukaryota; Viridiplantae; Streptophyta; Magnoliopsida; Poales; Poaceae
Description: long non-coding RNA (SVIR_LNC009650)
Source: RNAcentral